RNAcentral lists this long non-coding RNA (752 nucleotides) under Triticum aestivum (bread wheat). RNAcentral's name for it is "long non-coding RNA (TAES_LNC013999)". The record is from RNAcentral. Lineage: Eukaryota; Viridiplantae; Streptophyta; Magnoliopsida; Poales; Poaceae.
GAUCCAGAGAGCAAAUCUGAACCCAUAUAAAAUUCUGCUGGUCCUGUUGUAGCAACCACUAUUAUCGCCCAUUUGUCAGGGCAACCACCGGUAAGUGGGUUUUUCAAAAUUCAACUCAAGUACCAAAAUUUUGAACAAAAAUAGACCAGCUGUAUCUUCACUAUGGCCACAGAGAAAGAAGGAUAUAUACUGGAGUAGCAAUAGAAGCUGACUCCAAAUACUUUCUGACAAUAUUUGUAAUGGUUCUGUUUGGCUAAAUAUAAUGGUUCUGUUUGGCUCGACUGGAACUGCGCGGACACCACACCAGAGAGACAGCAGGAUCAAAGUAAUUUCAGCCACAAGAAGGACAUCAUUGACUUGAUCUUGCCUCUUUUGAUGUCUUCAGAACCUACCACCAUUAAGGAAGGCAUGGGGUUUGUGAUCGUUGCGGCGAUUGAAUGUGCUUCCAAAUAAUGCAUACAUGGGGCCGGAAAACAAUUGAGCUUCAGUGCAGACAGCUUCAACCACAAAGAGGAGCAGCAUUGAGACGGCUUCAAGAUGACCUGCAAAAUAUCUAGAUUCAGACAGCAUGCUGAGCCCCAGUACAUAAUUCUCUAGUCUGCAAGCUAUGUUAGCUUGCAAAAACCUCUUAUAUUGUCGGAUGGAGCUAGGGAGUAGUAAUUAGUUAUCACCUGACCUGCUCACCCAUAAUUACUCACUACCAAAUGGAAUUUGCCAGAAAAUUUGCAGAAAAUUAUUUUAUUUAGUACACC